Molecule: ribosomal RNA, 447 nt
Filed under: uncultured bacterium
Lineage: Bacteria
Description: bacterial SSU rRNA
Rfam family: Bacterial small subunit ribosomal RNA
Source: RNAcentral
ACCAGACUCCUACGGGAGGCAGCAGUGGGGGAUAUUGCACAAUGGGGGGAACCCUGAUGCAGCGACGCCGCGUGGGUGAAGAAGCGCCUCGGCGCGUAAAGCCCUGUCAGCAGGGAAGAAAAUGACGGUACCUGAAGAAGAAGCCCCGGCUAACUACGUGCCAGCAGCCGCGGUAAUACGUAGGGGGCAAGCGUUAUCCGGAUUUACUGGGUGUAAAGGGGGCGCAGACGGCGAUGCAAGCCAGGAGUGAAAGCCCGGGGCCCAACCCCGGGACUGCUCUUGGAACUGCGUGGCUGGAGUGCAGGAGGGGCAGGCGGAAUUCCUGGUGUAGCGGUGAAAUGCGUAGAUAUCAGGAGGAACACCGGUGGCGAAGGCGGCCUGCUGGACUGCAACUGACGUUGAGGCCCGAAAGCGUGGGGAGCAAACAGGAUUAGAUACCCGCGUAAU